AUGUCUGGCAGCCUUCACCUUGUCGACAAUGGUGGGGAGCUGAUGCUGGUGCACAGAAUGCUGCGCCCAAGCAAUGAUAUGCAAGGUGCAGAAUACAAGAUGGAGCACGAGGUUUACAGGGUGGAUUUGAAUGCCAGGGAGUUGGUCCUGGUCAAGGGCUUGGGUGGGCGGGCCGUGUUCAUUGGCAGGCGCCGUGCCAUCUCUAUACCUGCAGAGGCGUUUCCGUCCAUCUCAGCCGAUACUCUCUACUUGGGUUUUGAUUGCCAUGAAAAGACCACGAUGAACCAAAUUGAUGGAUACAAUGUUAAGGAUGGAAGCAGUGAGCCACACUUUGAUACGGUGCACCCGUAUAGCUUGGUCGACUGCCUCUCGCGCUGCAUCCAAGGCAUCGAUGAAGAGAAUGGAAGGUACCUCACAGGAAAGAAAAGGCUGGGAUCACGAAUUGGUAAAUGGAAGAACCUCCAUUGGACACUCUGCAAAUCCUUGUCUGAGUGA
Molecule: ribosomal RNA, 495 nt
Filed under: Triticum aestivum (bread wheat)
Lineage: Eukaryota; Viridiplantae; Streptophyta; Magnoliopsida; Poales; Poaceae
Description: partial small subunit ribosomal RNA
Source: RNAcentral